Molecule: transfer-messenger RNA, 420 nt
Filed under: Bacillota bacterium
Lineage: Bacteria; Bacillati; Bacillota
Also listed under: 4 other names
Rfam family: transfer-messenger RNA
About the family: Bacterial tmRNA, also known as 10Sa RNA or SsrA, is named for its dual tRNA and mRNA-like properties.
Source: RNAcentral
GGGGGCGUAUUGGUUUCGACGGGAUCGUUGAAGUCAGUGCAGCGGGUAGAGGAUUCUCGUUGGCCUCUUUAAAAAACGAGAGACUAAAAUAAACGCUAAAAACGAUAAUUUCGCUUUAGCUGCUGCCUAAUAAAGGCAGCCCGUCAGUCCGGGGUUCCUGCACCUCGGGUAGCUGGCGUCAUUAAGUCAGGCCUUAGGAAUGGGAAGGUCAAAUUCCGGAACUGGUUCAGUGGUAGCCUUGAGCUGAACCCGAUCUAAAGGCUACCGAAGGCGGAACUUCGACUGCAGAGGCCCGCCGGAGGGAAAUGCUGGCUCAAGUCCCGCAAGGGAUACUGAACUGGCGCAAAUUGCAGUCUACACCCGUAGAAACACUGGUGGAAAUGGUUUCGGACAGGGGUUCGACUCCCCUCGCCUCCACCA